GCGAUCACAGAAGUUAAGCAACGUCAAGCUUGAGCAGUACCUGGAUGGGUGACCGCUUGGGAGUACCAGGUGCCGUAA
Molecule: non-coding RNA, 78 nt
Organism: Acanthosepion pharaonis
Lineage: Eukaryota; Metazoa; Mollusca; Cephalopoda; Sepiida; Sepiidae
Source: the annotation of a GenBank genome assembly